RNAcentral lists this ribosomal RNA (303 nucleotides) under uncultured bacterium. RNAcentral's name for it is "partial 16S ribosomal RNA". It matches the Rfam family "Bacterial small subunit ribosomal RNA", at positions 507 to 807 of the family's 1533-position model. The record is from RNAcentral.
AGCAGUAGCCGCGGUAAAACAGAGGGUGCGAGCGUUAAUCGGAUUUACUGGGCGUAAAGCGUGCGUAGGCGGCUAAUUGAGUCGGAUGUGAAAUCCCCGAGCUUAACUUGGGAAUUGCAUUCGAUACUGGUUAGCUAGAGUGUGGGAGAGGAUGGUAGAAUUCCAGGUGUAGCGGUGAAAUGCGUAGAGAUCUGGAGGAAUACCGAUGGCGAAGGCAGCCAUCUGGCCUAACACUGACGCUGAGGUACGAAAGCAUGGGGAGCAAACAGGAUUAGAUACCCCCGUAGUCCCUGUCUCUUAUAC